Molecule: ribosomal RNA, 422 nt
Filed under: Salmonella enterica subsp. enterica serovar Paratyphi B
Lineage: Bacteria; Pseudomonadati; Pseudomonadota; Gammaproteobacteria; Enterobacterales; Enterobacteriaceae
Description: bacterial LSU rRNA
Rfam family: Bacterial large subunit ribosomal RNA
Source: RNAcentral
GGGUUGUGAGGUUAAGCGACUAAGCGUACACGGUGGAUGCCCUGGCAGUCAGAGGCGAUGAAGGACGUGCUAAUCUGCGAUAAGCGUCGGUAAGGUGAUAUGAACCGUUAUAACCGGCGAUUUCCGAAUGGGGAAACCCAGUGUGAUUCGUCACACUAUCAUUACGUGAAUACAUAGCGUAAUGAAGCGAACCGGGGGAACUGAAACAUCUAAGUACCCCGAGGAAAAGAAAUCAACCGAGAUUCCCCCAGUAGCGGCGAGCGAACGGGGAGGAGCCCAGAGCCUGAAUCAGCAUGUGUGUUAGUGGAAGCGUCUGGAAAGUCGCGCGAUACAGGGUGACAGCCCCGUACACAAAAGCGCAUGUGCUGUGAGCUCGAUGAGUAGGGCGGGACACGUGGUAUCCUGUCUGAAUAUGGGGGGAC